This 662-nucleotide ribosomal RNA is filed under the name uncultured Nitrososphaerota archaeon. RNAcentral's name for it is "bacterial SSU rRNA". It matches the Rfam family "Archaeal small subunit ribosomal RNA", at positions 1 to 670 of the family's 1478-position model. Lineage: Archaea; Thermoproteati; Nitrososphaerota. The record is from RNAcentral.
UUCCGGUUGAUCCUGCCGGACCUGACUGCUAUCGGAUUGAUACUAAGCCAUGCGAGUCAUUGUAGCAAUACAAGGCAUACGGCUCAGUAACGCGUAGUCAACCUAACCUAUGGACGGGAAUAACCUCGGGAAACUGAGAAUAAUGCCCGAUAGAACAUUAUGCCUGGAAUGGUUUAUGUUCCAAAUGAUUUAUCGCCGUAGGAUGGGACUGCGGCCUAUCAGUUUGUUGGUGAGGUAAUGGCCCACCAAGACUAUUACAGGUACGGGCUCUGAGAGGAGUAGCCCGGAGAUGGGUACUGAGACACGGACCCAGGCCCUAUGGGGCGCAGCAGGCGAGAAAACUUUGCAAUGUGCGAAAGCACGACAAGGUUAAUCCGAGUGGUUUCUGCUAAAGAAACCUUUUGUCAGUCCUAGAAACACUGAUGAAUAAGGGGUGGGCAAGUUCUGGUGUCAGCCGCCGCGGUAAAACCAGCACCUCAAGUGGUCAGGAUGAUUAUUGGGCCUAAAGCAUCCGUAGCCGGCUCUGUAAGUUUUCGGUUAAAUCUGUACGCUCAACGUACAGGCUGCCGGGAAUACUGCAGAGCUAGGGAGUGGGAGAGGUAGACGGUACUCGGUAGGAAGGGGUAAAAUCCUUUGAUCUAUUGAUGACCACCUGUGGCGAA